Long non-coding RNA from Myxocyprinus asiaticus (Chinese sucker), 2035 nucleotides. RefSeq lists it as uncharacterized. NCBI's taxonomy places the organism in Eukaryota, Metazoa, Chordata, Actinopteri, Cypriniformes, Catostomidae. The transcript has 3 exons. The record is from RefSeq and is a predicted model, not a curated record.
UUUCUUCAACUUCACUUUAAGCACUGAGCAUUUCUAGAAAGUAAAGUCUCAUUUUCACACUCUCAAUAGUUUAUUUAAAUAACUAACAAUGUCUAACAGUGUUUUUACAUGCAUUAUAUGGAGAUUUCUGUCAUUAUCAGCACAUCUCUAAUUCUGUAUUGUGUUUAAUAGAAUUCUGUGCUGGAAAUGAUGCUGAUGGAAAUCAUUUUGAACCUUUUUCAAAUAUAAUGACCGACUGCUUUGUCUUGCUAAAGCUAAUAUCAUAGCUAGCAUAUUAUGUGUCCUAAAUACACACAAUUAAAACACAUUUGCACUUUAUUUUUUUGGUUGAUUGAAAAUGACGGUCAGUAGAAAAGUGAUAUUUAUCUUGAUUUUGUCUCAUAUUUCAUCUCAUAUUUCAUGCUCUUCACUGACACUUUUGUCCGCUUGGUUAACAAGUACACUUACUUUAGAAAACACUUUAUUAUUAGGGGUAAAACAGUUUAUUGUGCUGGAAAUGACGCCACAACUGUGGGACAGUCAUCAUUUUGGACAAAUUGAUAGAAAUCAUUUUCACACAAUAAACAUAGAUAUGGUUUAUGCUUAUUUCACUCUUUGUUUAGAUGAUCAUAGUUUUAAAUGUAAUAAUUAGUAUUUUUAUAAUGGAUUUUCAUAGUUUAAUAUCGAGAAUCUGGGACGAGACUAAAACUGUCAAAUCUAUAUAUAUAUAUAUAUUUAAAAAGUUUAAAAAUGAAGAAAAAUGGAAUAUAAAUGAAGACAUGAUAACAAGUUUCCAAUUCUUUUUUAAUGACAUGAUCUUAAAACUAAAAAAAACAAACAAAAAAAAAAAAAAAAAACAAAACAUAUAUAUACACUACAUUGCCAAAAGUAUUCGCUCAUCUGCCUUUAGACGCAUAUGAACUUAAGUGACAUCCCAUUCUUAAUCCAUAGGGUUUAAUAUGACGUCGGCCCACCCUUUGCAGCUAUAACAGCUUCAACUCUUCUGGGAAGGCUUUCCACAAGGUUUAGGAGUGUGUUUAUGGGAAUUUUUGACCAUUCUUCCAGAAGCGCAUUUGUGAGGUCAGACACUGAUGUUGGACGAGAAGGCCUGGCUCACAGUCUUCGCUCUAAUUCAUCCCAAAGGUGCUCUAUCGGGUUGAGGUCAGGACUCUGUGCAGGCCAGUCAAGUUCUUCCACACCAAACUCACUCAUCCAUGUCUUUAUGGACCUUGCUUUGUGCACUGGUGCGCAGUCAUGUUGGAACAGGAAGGGGCCAUCCCCAAACUGUUCCCACAAAGUUGGGAGCAUGGAAUUGUCCAAAAUCUCUUGGUAUGCUGAAGCAUUCAGAGUUCCUUUCACUGGAACUAAGGGGCCAAGCCCAGCUCCUGAAAAACAACCCCACACCAUAAUCCCCCCUCCACCAAACUUCACAGUUGGCACAAUGCAGUCAGACAAGUACCGUUCUCCUGGCAACCGCCAAACCCAGACUCGUCCAUCAGAUUGCCAGAUGGAGAAAGCGUGAUUCGUCACUCCAGAGUACGCGUCUCCACUGCUCUAGAGUCCAGUGGCGGCGUGCUUUACACCACUGCAUCCGACGCUUUGCAUUGCACUUGGUGAUGUUUCCAUUCCAUGAAGCUCUCUACGCACUGUUCUUGAGCUAAUCUGAGGGCCACAUGAACUUUGGAGGCCUGUAGCGAUUGACUCUGCAGAAAGUUGGUGACCUCUGCGCACUAUGCGCCUCAGCAUCCGCUGACCCCGCUCUGUCAUUUUACAUGGCCUACCACUUCAUGGCUGAGUUGCUGUCAUUCCCAAUCGCUUCCACUUUGUUAUAAUACCACUGACAGUUGACUGUGGAAUAUUUAGUAGCGAGGAAAUUUCACGACUGGACUUGUUGCACAGGUGGCAUCCUAUCACAGUACCACGCUGGAAUUCACUGAGCUCCUGAGAGCGGCCCAUUCUUUCACAAAUGUUUGUAGAAGCAGUCUGCAUGCCUAGGUGCUUCAUUUUAUACACCUGUGGCCAUGGAAGUGAUUGGAACACCUGAAUUCAAUUAUUU